UGCUCUCUGGGUGGCGAGUGGCGGACGGGUGAGGAAUACAUCGGAAUCUACUCUGUCGUGGGGGAUAACGUAGGGAAACUUACGCUAAUACCGCAUACGACCUACGGGUGAAAGCAGGGGAUCUUCGGACCUUGCGCGAUUGAAUGAGCCGAUGUCGGAUUAGCUAGUUGGCGGGGUAAAGGCCCACCAAGGCGACGAUCCGUAGCUGGUCUGAGAGGAUGAUCAGCCACACUGGAACUGAGACACGGUCCAGACUCCUACGGGAGGCAGCAGUGGGGAAUAUUGGACAAUGGGCGCAAGCCUGAUCCAGCCAUACCGCGUGGGUGAAGAAGGCCUUCGGGUUGUAAAGCCCUUUUGUUGGGAAAGAAAUCCAGCUGGCUAAUACCUGGUUGGGAUGACGGUACCCAAAGAAUAAGCACCGGCUAACUU
RNAcentral lists this ribosomal RNA (429 nucleotides) under Stenotrophomonas maltophilia. RNAcentral's name for it is "bacterial SSU rRNA". It matches the Rfam family "Bacterial small subunit ribosomal RNA", at positions 77 to 503 of the family's 1533-position model. Lineage: Bacteria; Pseudomonadati; Pseudomonadota; Gammaproteobacteria; Lysobacterales; Lysobacteraceae. The record is from RNAcentral.